UUCUGGAGGUGGGCCAGUGGAAGCCUGCCUUGUUCUCAUAGACAGGAGUGUGGGGAACAGAGUGUGAAGAGAAGGGAGCAGCCUGCACUUAGGAGGAAUUUCUCCCACCUAGAGACUGAGACCAGACCACUACAGUGUGCAGCCUGCCUGAUCAGAUGACACCCCAAGACCCAGUCUGACCCUAUGCCUUUCUGUUAGCGGAAAUACAAUAACAAGAUGUGGCCCAAUUUCUCCUAAAUAUCAGCUAUAUCCAACCCAAGAAGGAGCUUGCUCAGGGAAUAAGAGAACUUGGUCCUAGGAACAGAAUGAACCAAGAAUGCAAGCAUUAAGCCUCUCCAGAGUUCUUGGGAUCCCAAAGGGAACCAAAGAUUCAAAAUGAAGAUCGAAUACUUUACUCACAAAAUAAAUGCAUUUCUAAAAGGAAGUCUAAAGGUAUAAGAAUAGAUGCUGCAUUACCCAUAUGCAUAUGGACUAUAAAAGUCUCUAUGAAGCCACCACAAGGAAAUGGCUAGAAUUGCCACAUACUCAGUUUAUAAUCAAAAAAAGGAAAUUAUGACAAGAAAAUAAAAGCCAUGUGAAUAGUAAAUGUGACAGAAAAGAUUUGAGAAGACCUCUGCCUGCAAGUCAAGAUUCCCAAAUCGUGAUGGGUGGUGCCAAAUGUCACAAAACUGCCAGGAAGGGCUGUUUUAACUACAUUCCCCAGAUUCAGAUUUCCCAGAAACUUCCAUGGCUGUGUGAGUGCUCGCUGAUUACUCUGUGCAACCAACCAAGCUCUUCGUUUUCCUGCUCAUUUUCCAAACAAGGCUGACCAUGAUUUCUGGAGUAACGCACAUGACUGUAUGUCAGCUCUCCUGAAAACUCAAAUGCCACCACAGCUAAUUUUGUCGGCUUAUUUGUUUGUUUUUGUUUUUGUUUUUGUUUUUUUCCUGAGGAUUGAACCAACACUGACCCACACACAGACAGGAAAAUAAAGUAGCAACCUCACUGUUUGGAAUCUUAGGAAGCCAAGUCUCCAAGUGUGCCACGAUGACAUCUGCUUCUAAUUGAAAUGAUUUAUCAAAGUGGCCAUCAGCGGGAACGGGUCGGUGAGUGCAUAAAUCUAGCACAAACACUUUCAGGUCUGAGCCUGGAAACCAAAGUCUGGUUUUGUUUUGGGCAUUAACAAGUCAUCGGCUGGCGGGAGGAGCCCAUGGAAAUCAAUCACUCUCUCAAACGCUCCGUCUCCCCAUCUGCACAAUGGAAUUGAUAUCAGGUAUCAAUUGCCAAUGGAUAUCUCUGGUCACAGGGAAGCUUCUCUUUCAUUCAUUUAUUCUUCCAAUAAACAUACUCAGAAAAC
This is a non-coding RNA of Ictidomys tridecemlineatus (thirteen-lined ground squirrel), 1336 nucleotides long. The record is from RefSeq and is a predicted model, not a curated record. Lineage: Eukaryota; Metazoa; Chordata; Mammalia; Rodentia; Sciuridae.